Molecule: long non-coding RNA, 310 nt
Filed under: Bos taurus (domestic cattle)
Lineage: Eukaryota; Metazoa; Chordata; Mammalia; Artiodactyla; Bovidae
Description: long non-coding RNA NONBTAT016598
Source: RNAcentral
UUUGAGGCAUACAUCACUCCUGGUUAAAAGACAUUCUAUUUGCCCUUACUUGCUUUUCACAGUGAACCAAUGAGUAGAAAACAGUUCACAGGAGUCAGUGUUUGUGGUUGCCUGUCAUGGGAAACGGGCCAGAAUUCUUGAUGCCCUACCAAAUUCAGAGCCAAUAUACUGCACCGUGUGUCAAGCAUUCUUUUUUACUGGUGAAGUGGAGACUUGGUCAGCUGAAAUGUAAAAAUCUACUUUCCAAAAGAUAGAAGAUGCUGAACAUCCAACAAAGUAUCCCCGGGGGUGGGGAGGGGGACUCUAACCU